This 422-nucleotide ribosomal RNA is filed under the name uncultured bacterium. RNAcentral's name for it is "partial 16S ribosomal RNA". It matches the Rfam family "Bacterial small subunit ribosomal RNA", at positions 360 to 774 of the family's 1533-position model. The record is from RNAcentral.
AAUCUUCCACAAUGGACGAAAGCCUGAUGGAGCAACGCCGCGUGAGUGAAGAAGGUUUUCGGAUCGUAAAUAUCUGUUUUUGGAGAAGAACGGGUUUGAUAGUAGCUGAUCAGUUUGUGAAGGUAGCAAACCAGCAUACUACGGCACACUACGUGUCAGCAGCCGCGGUAAUACUUAGGUGGGAAGCGUUGGACGGAUUUAUUGGGCGUAAAGCGAGCGCAGGCGGUUUAUUAAGUCUGAUGUGAAAGCCUUCGGCUCAACCGAAGAAGUGCAUCGGAACAUGGGAAACUUGAGUGAAGAAGAGGACAGUGGAACUACAUGGGUAGCGGUGAAAUGCGUAGAUAUAUGGAAGAACACCAGUGGCGAAGGCGGCUGUCUGGUCUGUAACUGACGCUGAGGCUCGAAAGCAUGGGUAGCAAACA